This 225-nucleotide long non-coding RNA is filed under the name Phoenix dactylifera (date palm). RNAcentral describes it as "long non-coding RNA (PDAC_LNC020377)". The record is from RNAcentral. Lineage: Eukaryota; Viridiplantae; Streptophyta; Magnoliopsida; Arecales; Arecaceae.
AACAAUAGUUACGGUAAAGAGGUUUCAGCCUACUUAUCAGGACUUGUGCCCAUAAGUUUAUACAUGAUAACACAGAGCCAGUAUUUAAGAAGAAUACUAUAAAGAUAAACUUAUCCUAUGUUCCCAUAACCGGAAACCUCCACGUAGGAUUCAAAUGCUGACCUGGCAUCCCACACGUAUCUCAUAGCCUCCCAUCCUCCCGCCUGGCUCCCGUCUCUAGCUACU